GCGCGGGUAGUUUACUGGUAGAAUAUGUCGUUGCCAACGAUGUGAACCGGGUUCAAUUCCCGGUCCGCGCA
This 71-nucleotide transfer RNA is filed under the name Candidatus Pacearchaeota archaeon. RNAcentral describes it as "tRNA-Gly". It matches the Rfam family "tRNA". Rfam says of the family: Transfer RNA (tRNA) molecules are approximately 80 nucleotides in length. Their secondary structure includes four short double-helical elements and three loops (D, anti-codon, and T loops). The record is from RNAcentral. Lineage: Archaea; Nanobdellati.